Long non-coding RNA from Prosopis cineraria, 919 nucleotides. RefSeq lists it as uncharacterized. The record is from RefSeq and is a predicted model, not a curated record. NCBI's taxonomy places the organism in Eukaryota, Viridiplantae, Streptophyta, Magnoliopsida, Fabales, Fabaceae. The transcript is spliced from 2 exons.
GCUUGCGUAUUAAGUUAAAGAAGAUUCUAGUUGUGGAAACAACCAAGAAAAAAAAAUGAGGAUGCACGAGUAAAUAGUUAAUAGUUAAUAAUUAACUAUAUUAAAAAAAAUCGAUCUCUUCUUUUUACCCCAAAAAAAAAAAUUGGUUCUCUUCUAGGGUUUCGCCUUUAGGCCUCUUUAAAACGAGACAUAAUUUCCACAGCUGCAGAUCUCCCUCUUAUCCGGCGAUGCUCGACAGGGAAGUUUUCGAGGUGUUAAACUGAUUCCCUCUGGACCACAGCAUUCACAAAACCAUCGCUCGAAGCAGUGGAGUGUUUCAUGGUGUGUUUGAACUUUCACAAUAAAAUGCAUUUGUAGUGUUGUUCCGUAAGGACUGUUUUACAGAAUACAGAGCAACACAGCAAAUGCAUUCUAAUGUGAGGUUUCUAGAUCCUAUGCUGAGUCGUAUAGAUGCAUUUGUGGUGUGGCUUGAAAUGACAUGUUCCAAAAAAGAACUUUGAAUAGCCUGAUAAAUAUAUUCCAGUGUGGAGGCCUCCAUGAUGCUUAGAUGUUGAGCAUGGCUACAAAUGGUUUUGAUUUUUGAGGUAACAAUGUUGCUGAAUUUCAUGAAUACCUGUGUCAUGGUAAGAAAUGAUGAAUUGGUUUUCAUUAUUAGAGUCUCGUUUUAUUUUAUUUUUUUCGAUAGCUUUUAUAGGAGUUUAAUUUUGAAGAUAGAAUGAUGUGGGUGUCUUAAAAAGGGGGAAAAUGAAUGUGUGCAUGCUUUGAGAUAUGAGCACCAGGGCAUGUACACGUUGACACGUUGUGAUGUUUGUGGUGAUCUUAACUAUUCAUGUCUGAUGCAUAGUUUGGCUUCCUACAAGUUUUUGGGAGAUAAUACAUUUAUGAAUCAUAAUUUGAUGGUAUUUGAAUCAUAAUCCAA